GUCUACAGCCAUGCUACCCUGAACAAGCCCGAUCCCGUCUGAUCUCAGAAGCUAAGCAGGGUCAGGCCUGGUUAGUACUUGGAUGGGAGAUCACCUAGGAAGACCAGGUGCUGUAGGUG
Molecule: ribosomal RNA, 119 nt
Filed under: Pteropus alecto (black flying fox)
Lineage: Eukaryota; Metazoa; Chordata; Mammalia; Chiroptera; Pteropodidae
Source: RNAcentral